GUCAACUCUUUGCGCUGAUAGGUUUAAAUUGCUGCCCUGCAGAGGGCCUGCUUUAGCCUGGCCGGUGGUUGACUGGAGUCUGAGGCCAUGAGCACUGUCGCUGUGACUCGGGCGGCCGCGGGACCAGCCUCUAGGCCAGCUUCCUGCCUCACUCCGCCGAGAAUUGGACCGACAGAUCCCCUUCGCCCCCGAACCAAAAUGACAGCAGAUCUCAUACGCGCGKUAAUCUUCCCUCAAAACUCUUGGAGGCCUUGGGAUGGGAUUUAGGACCCACUAAGCAGGCCUGCUUUUCCCACCGUCUUUCUCUGUCCUCUCCAGUACAGACUCCAGCCACAGCCGAGUCUCUGUUCUUGAACUAGGCAGACUUCUUCAUUCUGUCCCUCUGCUGGAGUAACUGCCCAUCUCUCAGGCUGCCUGGCUAUCAGAGUUCCUUGACAGCUGGUCCCCUUCAAGCACACUAACGUCUGUCCAGUGUUUACCUCUUUUAUAGCACUGUGGGCUGUGCAAAUUAAAUGAGUUUGUUAUCAGCA
Molecule: long non-coding RNA, 530 nt
Organism: Urocitellus parryii (Arctic ground squirrel)
Lineage: Eukaryota; Metazoa; Chordata; Mammalia; Rodentia; Sciuridae
Source: Ensembl